AUAUAAAAUCACAGCCGACAUAAAUAAGAAAAAGUAAAUGGUUAUGAUGU
Molecule: non-coding RNA, 50 nt
Filed under: Trypanosoma lewisi
Lineage: Eukaryota; Euglenozoa; Kinetoplastea; Trypanosomatida; Trypanosomatidae
Source: RNAcentral